Molecule: microRNA precursor, 195 nt
Filed under: Oryza meridionalis
Lineage: Eukaryota; Viridiplantae; Streptophyta; Magnoliopsida; Poales; Poaceae
Description: MIR812 microRNA precursor family
Rfam family: MIR812 microRNA precursor family
Source: Rfam by way of RNAcentral
AAUAAGUGUAGUUUUGCACUAUUCACGUUCAACGUUUGACCGUUGGUCUUAUUUAUUUUUUUUAUGAUUAGUAUUUUUAUUACUAUUAAAUAAUAAAACAUUAAUAGUACUUUAUAUGUGACUAAAUAUUUUCAAAUUUUUUAAAUAAGACGGAUAGUCAAAUAUUAGGCAUAGAUAUCUACCGCUAUAUUUAUU